AUACGGAGGGUGCAAGCGUUACUCGGAAUCACUGGGCGUAAAGCGCGCGCAGGCGGUCUUUUAAGUUGGAUGUGAAAGCCUACGGCUCAACCGUAGAACUGCAUCCAAAACUAUUAGACUAGAGUGUGGGAGAGGAAGAUGGAAUUAGUUGUGUAGGGGUAAAAUCCGUAGAGAUAACUAGGAAUACCAAAAGCGUAGGCAAUCUUCUGGAACACUACUGACGCUGAGGCGCGAAAGCGUGGGGAGCAAACAGGAUUAGAAACCCUAGUAGUCC
This 274-nucleotide ribosomal RNA is filed under the name uncultured bacterium. RNAcentral's name for it is "partial 16S ribosomal RNA". It matches the Rfam family "Bacterial small subunit ribosomal RNA", at positions 523 to 796 of the family's 1533-position model. The record is from RNAcentral.